Molecule: non-coding RNA, 228 nt
Organism: Arabidopsis thaliana (thale cress)
Lineage: Eukaryota; Viridiplantae; Streptophyta; Magnoliopsida; Brassicales; Brassicaceae
Product: other RNA
Exons: 1
Source: RefSeq
CACUAAACUUAAUCACACCAUACUUCCUCCCUCCUUCCUCCUUAAUCACAACCCUCUCAUCCGUUGGACGUGGUGCCUCCUCCGCCUUCUUAUACAUCGACGGCAACAAAAACUGCAUCGUCACCAACUUCUUCCUUCCUUCUCCACCACCUUCCUUAGUUACAACCGGAGAAGUCAUCUCAAUCUUCUCACUCUCCUUAGUAAUCACCGGAGCAGUCAUCGCAAUCU